Molecule: small nucleolar RNA, 104 nt
Filed under: Sorex araneus (European shrew)
Lineage: Eukaryota; Metazoa; Chordata; Mammalia; Eulipotyphla; Soricidae
Description: Small nucleolar RNA U13 (ENSSARG00000019416.1)
Rfam family: Small nucleolar RNA U13
Source: RNAcentral
AUCCUAUCCCGGUUUAUAAGCAUGAUAAUUGGAUGUUCACACAGUUGUAUGAGGUGUCCCUCCCUUAAAACUUGUUAUGUAUUUGGAGCAUUACCCAUCUGAUG